This is a non-coding RNA of Misgurnus anguillicaudatus (oriental weatherfish), 1071 nucleotides long. The record is from RefSeq and is a predicted model, not a curated record. NCBI's taxonomy places the organism in Eukaryota, Metazoa, Chordata, Actinopteri, Cypriniformes, Cobitidae.
UAUGUGAAACUAUUAGCGCUAUGUGCAUCUCUUUAAAACAUGGAUUAUACAUGUCGGUUUUCUGCAGCUGUGCAGGACGAUUGCUGCAACUGUAAACAUCUCCGUGGCUGCAGAUAUUGUGGCUUUGACUUCUCGGCGGCGUGUCUCAUCUGUUUAUGCGAUCACAUUCAGUCAAUACGAUGCUGCGUAUGGGCGGAUGACGACUGUAUACGCCAAGUUAUUCUCCUUGUGUAUCCUGAGCUCCACCAGCUGAGUGAUUAAACUCAAACUAAAACUUUGCAUUGCCACUAUGGAGUAUUAUCUUCACCUCCACUGAUUCCCGGGUCCCUGUGCCUGUUAUUCGAGUGAUAGGGGUAUGCAGUGACGUCACCGCUGUCUUGUUCCGGGUUGAAUAUUCGCGUUCGUGAACGUGAAUCCCAUUUUGAUACGUUUGUGAAUCCGCUAAUGCGGUGGGAGUGCUUUUGCACUUAUAUGGUCCAGUUAUGUUUUCAGUUGAUUUACUUGUUGUUUUGGGUUAAUUUUUGUAUUAUUGCCAGCGUACUGGCGUGAACAUAUGUUUUCUUUCUGUUUGUUUCAGUGACAAUUGGUUUUGUUUCUUUAUUCUUUAAUUCAAUUUAAUUUGGUUAAUUUUGUUAUUGUGUGUUUGACAGGCAUUAAGUGUCAGCUGUGUUGCCUGCCUGAAUUUUGUAAAUCCUUUUUGUUUCUGUUUGAGUGUGUGUGUGUGUGUGUGUGUGUGUGUUUGUGUGUGUGCUGUGUUAUUUUGUUUUACAGGAGCUGCAGACCUUUGAUGAAGAGCAGGGCUAAAUAAAGUCUUUCUUUAGGUGGUGAUGGUGUUUCCUCACGGAGUGCUGUGAUUUGCCGUGUGCACUGGGGCUUUUGGAGUGGUGUGAGUUUGCAGUGUACGUAGAGUAAAGGCCUGUACGGCCGGUCAUUUAGCCGAGGCUGCAGCUCCUUGUGUCGUCCUUCUGGACCAUUUGUGUGAUUGUGGUCCCAGUUUAUGCAUCUUGUGAAUGCAUUUUAAAUUUCUUCUGACUUUGCAAAUACAAUAAAUACUCUAUUUUUAUACCAGUA